GAACGCGUAGCGGGACGGCCUAACACAUGCAAGCCGAGGCGGUAGAGUAUUCUUCGGAAUCUUGAGAGCGGCGUACGGGUGCGGAACACGUGUGCAACCUACCUUUAUCUGGAGGAUAGCCUUUCGAAAGGAAGAUUAAUACUCCAUAAUAUAUUGAUUGGCAUCGAUUGAUAUUGAAAGCUCCGGCGGAUAGAGAUGGGCACGCGCAAGAUUAGCUAGUUGGUGAGGUAACGGCUCACCAAGGCGAUGAUCUUUAGGGGCCUGAGAGGGUGAUCCCCCACACUGGUACUGAGACACGGACCAGACUCCUACGGGAGGCAGCAGUGAGGAAUAUUGGUCAAUGGGUGCAAGCCUGAACCAGCCAUCCCGCGUGAAGGACGACUGCCCUAUGGGUUGUAAACUUCUUUUGUAUAGGGAUAAACCUACCCUCGUGAGGGUAGCUGAAGGUACUAUACGAAUAAGCACCGGCUAACUCCGUG
This 479-nucleotide ribosomal RNA is filed under the name uncultured bacterium. RNAcentral describes it as "bacterial SSU rRNA". It matches the Rfam family "Bacterial small subunit ribosomal RNA", at positions 37 to 507 of the family's 1533-position model. The record is from RNAcentral.